GGGAAUAUAGUUCAGUGGAACAACACUUGCCUGGCAUGUUCAAGAUCCUGGGUUCUCUUCUCAGUACUUCCA
RNAcentral lists this transfer RNA (72 nucleotides) under Marmota marmota marmota (Alpine marmot). It matches the Rfam family "tRNA". Rfam says of the family: Transfer RNA (tRNA) molecules are approximately 80 nucleotides in length. The record is from Rfam by way of RNAcentral. Lineage: Eukaryota; Metazoa; Chordata; Mammalia; Rodentia; Sciuridae. RNAcentral also lists the same sequence under 3 other names.